Small nucleolar RNA from Molossus molossus (Pallas's mastiff bat), 103 nucleotides. RefSeq annotates it as small nucleolar RNA U13. The record is from RefSeq and is a predicted model, not a curated record. Lineage: Eukaryota; Metazoa; Chordata; Mammalia; Chiroptera; Molossidae. The transcript has a single exon.
GUCCUUUUGUAGUUCAUAAGUGUGAUGAUUGGGUGUUCACGCUGGUGUGUAAGGUCUGCCUCCCUCAGCAUUGUUGUGACAUUGGCACAAUGCCUGUCUGAUG